Mesoplodon densirostris (Blainville's beaked whale) is the source of this 715-nucleotide long non-coding RNA. RefSeq lists it as uncharacterized. NCBI's taxonomy places the organism in Eukaryota, Metazoa, Chordata, Mammalia, Artiodactyla, Ziphiidae. The record is from RefSeq and is a predicted model, not a curated record. The transcript has 4 exons.
AGCCAGGCAGCCGGUCUCUCCGUCCUCCCUAAGGCCACGUGCCCCGCCGCCGUCCGGGAGUCACGGAUGGCUCCGGAUACCGCACGGCUAGCACUCACCGGGGCCCACAGAUCCCGAAACGCCUGGGACCGGAAGAGAAAGAGGAACACCGUGGUGCAGCAUGAGAAAUAGGCUUGUCGCGGCCGGAAGGGACUUCUGGAAAAGCUUCCCCCAGCGCCGUGAAGAUAGGUUCCUAACCCCGGAGGACACAAGCCAGAUGGGAAGGUGGUGGUACGAGCCUGGCCUCGCUCCUUCAGGACACAGAGGCUGCGACCCAGGAGCCCCUGGCAGAGUUGACAAAGCCAGCAUUGGGGCAGGAGCCUUGAAGAUCAUCUGGUUCCCGUCUCCAAGCCUAUAGCAGCACUGUUCCUGAGGAGAAACUAAGAGCAACACAAACAUCCAGUGACAGGAGAAUUGAGAAAUCAGCCACAGCUCCCACAGCAGCAGGGAGCCGAGUGUGUGAGUGCGCCUGCCUCUCUGCCCCAGAAGAGCGUGGCUUCAGCCCCAGGUCGCCCAGGGCCUCUACGCCCCACCACGUGGUGUCUGUGUGCACGAGGGCCCAUCUGCCCAUCUGUUUCCCUUCCCUCUGCUGUGGGCUCUGCUUCCCCGUGGUCCAAACAACAAGAUCCAGCCCAGAAACAGCAUAUGUUUCCAGCCUCUGCUAGUCCAAGUCAUA